RNAcentral lists this ribosomal RNA (386 nucleotides) under uncultured bacterium. RNAcentral describes it as "bacterial SSU rRNA". It matches the Rfam family "Bacterial small subunit ribosomal RNA", at positions 28 to 417 of the family's 1533-position model. The record is from RNAcentral.
GACGAACGCUGGCGGCGUGCUUAACACAUGCAAGUCGAGCGGUAAGGCCCUUUCGGGGGUACACGAGCGGCGAACGGGUGAGUAACACGUGGGUGACCUGCCUUUAGCUCUGGGAUAAGCCUGGGAAACUGGGUCUAAUACCGGAUAUGACUCCAUGAUGCAUGUUGUGGGUGAAAGCCUUGUGCGGCUGGAGAUGGGCCCGCGGCCUAUCAGCUUGUUGGUGGGGUGAUGGCCUACCAAGGCGACGACGGGUAGCCGGCCUGAGAGGGCGACCGGCCACACUGGGACUGAGACACGGCCCAGACUCCUACGGGAGGCAGCAGUGGGGAAUCUUGCGCAAUGGGCGAAAGCCUGACGCAGCGACGCCGCGUGAGGGAUGACGGCCU